UUUUCUGGAAACUCUGCAACUAGGAGGGGAGGGAGAGAAAGAGGAGAAACCCAGUUGCUUUGAGAUGCAGGCUGAGGUGGAUGGAGAAGACAGGAUCUGCUGGCUGGCAUGGUAGCCGGGGGGAGCGCAUCAUUUUACUGCUGCAGAUUUGUUUGCUCUGAAUGCCCGCAAUAGACAAGGAGAAUUCCAUAAGAUGCUCCACUUUGAUCAUCUUGAGGAGCUAAAGGCCAUAAAGAAGCAUCAGAAAGAUCAGCUUGAUUCCCAGAGAAUGAUUCACAGCAAAAGGUCUGCAAUUCCUCUUUGAAAAGAAGAAAUGCAACACCCGCACUUGGUAUCCUAUUCUCUGCUCCUGCAUUCAAUAUCUUCUUGUUCAGGCUGGGGCAAAGAUUAGUGCAUUAAAGCAUCCUGGCAAUUAUUUACUCAACCUUCUUUCCUGGACAAGUGUUCAAAAUUGUAGAGGUUUAUCUUUCUUCCCUUAGAAGGAAUCAAAGGCUAGUCAAUGAAGCACUGUCUGAACCCUUCCCAGUAAGAGCGCAGAAAGGGACAAAAUGCUAGAGGCAACCUUACGGCAACCUUGUCUCCAACCUCAAUCCAGCUGUGCUGGGACCAGCAAAGCAAAGCAAAAUCCAUACAGUUUUAAGAAACCCAAGCCUGACUUGGUUGAUGGAUAUGGCUGCUUGGAAGGCCUGCAAGGAAAGGAGAGAGAAAGCAGUCAAAGGUGUCUCCCAGCUGGGAAGAAUCUCCCAGCAGAGCCAGAAGAGCAAGAGAUGAAAGAGUCAGCAAGAAAGAGUUUCUUGCAGGAAUCUUGGAAAGCCAGUGGAGAUAUGCUACCGUUCAAGGGAGAUGGCAGCGGGCUGAUAUCAGGGGGUGGAUGCUCCACAACGAGAGACUCUCCAAGGCCAGCUUUGGACUUGCUUCAGUCUGGGUUUAGCAAAAGCGGCGAUCCAAGUCAAGAAUGGAAAGUGGUGAAAGUGAAGCGAGUCCUUAUUUCUCCUGUGGCUGAACCUAGGAAAGCAAGUAAGUGUGGC
Long non-coding RNA from Lacerta agilis (Sand lizard), 1028 nucleotides. RefSeq lists it as uncharacterized. The record is from RefSeq and is a predicted model, not a curated record. The transcript is spliced from 3 exons. Lineage: Eukaryota; Metazoa; Chordata; Lepidosauria; Squamata; Lacertidae.